GGAACGUGCGGUUUAAUUGGAUUCAACACCGGAAAACUCACCAGCAAAGACUGUUACAUGAAACUCAGGCCGAUGACCUUAGUAGAUUUUCAGAGAAGUGGUGCAUGGCCGUCGUCAGUUCGUACUGUAAAGCGUUCUCUUAAGUGAGAUAACGAACGAGACCCUCACCAAUAGUUGCUACUGUGCCGUCCGCGACACAGGCACACUAUUGGGACCGCUGGCGCUAAGUCAGAGGAAGGAGAGGUCAACGGUAGGUCAGUAUGCCCUGAAUUUGCUGGGCUACACGCGCGUUACAAAGGUCGGGACAAUGAGCUCCGACACCGAAAGGUGGAGGUGAUCUCGAAACCCGUCCGUAGUUCGGAUUGAGGGUUGUAACUCACCCUCAUGAAGCUGGAUUCCGUAGUAAUCGCGAGUCAACAACUCGCGGUGAAUAUGCCCCUGCUCCUUGCACACACCGCCCGUCA
This 464-nucleotide ribosomal RNA is filed under the name uncultured bacterium. RNAcentral's name for it is "bacterial SSU rRNA". It matches the Rfam family "Archaeal small subunit ribosomal RNA", at positions 890 to 1355 of the family's 1478-position model. The record is from RNAcentral.